UGCCAGGCCCUGGGUCAUGCCUCAGAACUGGAAGGGUGAAGGCACUCUGCUUCAGCCACCGGAUAUUAGGGCCUGUACUUUGCACAGAGAAGCAUGAAGGAGUCUGAGAUACCGUUAGUAGGAAUAACAAAUGCCCACCACAAUCCAUCACUUAGUCCCACACGAACAGUCUUCUUCACCCUGAAUGCUCCUGCCUACAAAUGAAACCAUCCCUUCUACAGCUGUAUUAUUUCUCAUCCCCUUCCUCUAAAAGGUAACAACAAAACCAAAUCUCACCAGGUUCCGCACUCCGCUCAUGCUCUGGAUAUCCGAAGGAGGACUUCCCUCUUUUCAUUUAUUUUAUUCCCCUUUCAUUUCUAGAAAAGAAAUAACUGUAUUGAUACUCUGUAUAAUCUGUAUAUCCUAUAGGUUUGACUGUAAAGGGAGCUACUGCCAACUCAUUGUGUACAAAAUAACGUGGGGAGGAGAAAGAAAAGAGGAGAAAUGGUUAAAAUACGAACAUGAUACUGGAUGGAAGACAGGAGAACCCCAAAGAGCUGGGCAGUUUCCUGCUGUCCCACCACUGGUCUCCGACAGGGCCUACUAGCAAGCCCAGAGACAUCAUUCAAAGCCAUGGAGCUCGUCCUUCAAAGGAAAUUUUACAGACUUGUAAACAAAUCAAAUACAAACAAGGGUCCCUGCAUGAAGGCAAGGGUGACAGCUUGGAGACCCAUCCAAUUGGCUUGCUGGAGAUUUCCAUGAAAUCCCAAAGGUUCCUUGGAACACCGUUGAAGACUAACAAAGAAAAGUCACCAUCCUUUCAAGUUUGAGUAUCAAUGUGUCAGGUUAGUCCAAUUUUGGUCCAGUGUGAAAAUUAAUGUAGGGUCGAAGACUCGGAACCAAACUUGGCUGAACCAAGAGUGAUCAGCCCAUGGGUAAGAAUGUUCUAUUCUAUUAACAUGCCUCAGCAACACUUUCCGAAGCUCUUCGGGCUUAUUGGUGGCAAAAUUUCCUCCUUACUAAUGUAACACGCCGAGUGCUUUCCGAAAUCUUGAAUAACAUUGCUCUCCUUUUCAUAAAAACUGAAUGGUUAUUUUUGAAAUGUAACCACGUGUCAGGAUUGGAGAUAUUGUGGUUGGCAAGACAGACUCAACCCCUUCCCUGAAAGGAGCCGUCCACAGAAAUAAAUACCGCCGGAGAAGACCUCGUGAAGUCUAG
This 1197-nucleotide long non-coding RNA is filed under the name Vulpes vulpes (red fox). RNAcentral's name for it is "lncRNA (ENSVVUG00000028230.1)". Lineage: Eukaryota; Metazoa; Chordata; Mammalia; Carnivora; Canidae. The record is from RNAcentral.